UCUCGCAUGGGGACGGGGUAAAAUAUUUUAUAGGUUACAGAUGGGCAUGCGUGACAUUAGUUAGUUGGUGAGGUAACGGCUCACCAAGACUGCGAUGUCUAGGGGUUCUGAGAGGAAGGUCCCCCACACUGGAACUGAGACACGGUCCAGACUCCUACGGGAGGCAGCAGUGAGGAAUAUUGGUCAAUGGACGCAAGUCUGAACCAGCCAUGUCGCGUGCAGGAUGACUGCCCUAUGGGUUGUAAACUGCUUUUAUAUUGGAAGAAUUGCGCUUACGAGUUAAGCGUUUGACGGUACAUUAUGAAUAAGGAUCGGCUAACUCCGUGCCAGCAGCCGCGGUAAUACGGAGGAUCCGAGCGUUAUCCGGAUUUAUUGGGUUUAAAGGGUGCGUAGGCGGAAAUGUAAGUCAGUGGUGAAAUCCUGCAGCUUAACUGUAGAAUAGCCGUUGAAACUGUGUUUCUUGAGUACAUUUGAGGUAGGCGGAAUGUGGUGUGUAGCGGUGAAAUGCAUAGAUAUACCACAGAACACCGAUUGCGAAGGCAGCUUACUAAACUGUCACUGACGCUGAUGCACGAAAGCGUGGGUAUCAAACAGGAUUAGAUACCCUGGUAGUCCACGCUGUAAACGAUGAUUACUGGUUGUUUGCGAUACACUGCAAGUGACUGAGCGAAAGCAUUAAGUAAUCCACCUGGGGAGUACGUCGGCAACGAUGAAACUCAAAGGAAUUGACGGGGGCCCGCACAAGCGGAGGAACAUGUGGUUUAAUUCGAUGAUACGCGAGGAACCUUACCUGGGUUUAAAUGGGGAGUGACAGGCUUGGAAACAGGCUCUUCUUCGGACACUCUUCAAGGUGCCGCAUGGUUGUCGUCAGCUCGUGCCGUGAGGUGUCGGGUUAAGUCCCAUAACGAGCGCAACCCCUAUCGAUAGUUACCAGCACGUUACGGUGGGGACUCUAUCGAGACUGCCGGUGUAAACCGUGAGGAGGGUGGGGAUGACGUCAAAUCAGCACGGCCCUUACAUCCAGGGCUACACACGUGUUACAAUGGCCGGUACAAAGGGCAGCUACACAGCGAUGUGAUGCUAAUCUCCAAAUCCGGUCUCAGUUCGGAUCGAAGUCUGCAACCCGACUUCGUGAAGCUGGAUUCGCUAGUAAUCGCGCAUCAGCCAUGGCGCGGUGAAUACGUUCCCGGGCCUUGUACUCACCGCCCGUCAA
RNAcentral lists this ribosomal RNA (1213 nucleotides) under uncultured bacterium. Its description in RNAcentral is "bacterial SSU rRNA". It matches the Rfam family "Bacterial small subunit ribosomal RNA", at positions 184 to 1400 of the family's 1533-position model. The record is from RNAcentral.